RNAcentral lists this long non-coding RNA (1578 nucleotides) under Gallus gallus (chicken). Its description in RNAcentral is "long non-coding RNA NONGGAT006533". The record is from RNAcentral. Lineage: Eukaryota; Metazoa; Chordata; Aves; Galliformes; Phasianidae.
CCUAGGUCUUUUUCUGCCAAGCUACUUUCAGGCUGGGUGCCCCCCAGAAUGUUCUGGUGCCUGGGAUUGUUUUUGACCAGGUGCAGGACUCUGCACUUCUCCUUGCUGAACUCCAUGAGGUUCUUUACUGCCCACUUCUCCAGCCUGUCCAAGUACCUUUGGAUGGUCCCCACAAUCCUCUGGUAUAUUCACCACUCCCCUCACUUAUUUGUCAUCUGCAAGCUUGCUGAGGGUAUGUUCUGCCCCACUGUCCAGAUCAUUAGUAAAGAUAUUACACUGGACUGGGCCCAGUAUUGAUCUCUGGAGUACACCACUAGUUACUGGUUUCCAAGGAAAUUCUGUGCAACUGAUCACUUUUCUUUGGGUUCAGCCAUUCAGCUACUUUUCAGUUCACCCCAGUGAGCACAUCCAGCCCUUCCAUCAACAGCGCUGAAAAUUUGGCUGCAAUUGCUUACAAAAGCAGCGACUUGUCUCAUAACACCCUCCUCCAUCCCCAGAAAUGUCCCCAGACAUCCCCCCAGAAAUGCCACUGCACCAAAAAAACACAGCUUACUUCUAGAGAAUGACGUGACUGAAAAAGCAAAGCAUUCACACUAAGGUGAGCCAGAAAUAUCGUUGGUCUGGAUCACAAGAAACAUGUUGCCAACCAGCGACAGUAUGAUGAUGGAGGUGAAUGGUGUCAUUGUGAUCUGGCACUGUUUUCACACAUUUGUAGUUUGCUAAAAGGCACUACAUAGGUGAGGAACAAAAGCACAGCACAAUCCUGGUUAUUUAACGUCACUGUUGAAUGAACAAGGGCAUCUUUCAGAUUCUUGGCCUUUGAACUGUUAUAAGAAUAUCAGCAAAAAAUAAUACUUCGACAUGUUUUCUUAACCAGGAUGCCACAGUGAAUUGUGUGGACCAGACAAGGUGGCUGAAUGGGAGUAAUCACACAGUGCUGGGCAGAGCAGUGUCUGAGGGGAAAAGAAACCAGGGAGCCUGAGGCGCUUGAACCAAGAACUGAACGACGCCAAUCCCAAAUAGUGCCGUGAGCUUAUGAUCAAGCCCUGUUUGUGAAGCUCUGACUCACCGAACAGUCUACCAGGACCCUGAAAGCAAACUGUGGGAAGAGCCCUGUGGAGCCGACAUAACAACUGACAACUUUGCUUCUUCCCCAAGACCACACUGGGACAGGAUGAAAACAGGAUCAGGGCUCUGCAGUGGAGCAGCAGCGUCGUGAUGCACCAAGGUGCACAGAAUGAAAGCAGAGAGCUACACAUAACAUGUCCAAAUCUUUGAAGCUGCAAAGGACUUUGAAACAAAUCCACAAAUUUGCCAUGUGGCAGUGGACAGAAGGCAAAGAGCCACAUUUUCCUUGCCUUUCCAGUGGAGCUAGAACUGUUCCCCAAGACAACAGUUUAAGAGACGGACAUGGCUGAACUUCUGACACAGGCACUGGUCUGACCACUAGGAGUUGUUACUGGCUUUUGGGGGAAAGUAAAACAUCCCAAUGACUUCGCUCUCUGUUCCUCACCAGCCAUUUUCACCAUCUAAUAUCUUGGAACAUUUAAUUGUAACAGAACAUUUCAUGUGGCUCAU